RNAcentral lists this non-coding RNA (28 nucleotides) under Rattus norvegicus (Norway rat). Lineage: Eukaryota; Metazoa; Chordata; Mammalia; Rodentia; Muridae. The record is from RNAcentral.
CCUCAUCAAAAUGCAGGCAGCCUCGUGU